UCCCUUACCCAAACAAAAAGAAAAACAACCUCUGCACUUUUGUUUCUGUUUUUCGAUUUCGUUUUCUUCGUUGGGAGGGUCUUCCUCCGGCUCCUCCCCCUCCUGAAAUACCAUGUGAACACCUUCCCCCUUAAACCCUUGGCGUGUUUCUUCCCCUUGCAUGCUUUCUGUUUUUCUCCAACCAAAAUGGUGAAACCUGCAUUGGGUUUUGGGGGUUCCUUGAUAUAUGGCCUCGUCUUCCUAGUUGUCUCAGCCACGUGUCAAGACGCUGAGGUCAUGGAAAUUCUGAAGAACUCCAUCAACGCCUCCCUUACCUUCCAAUGGACAGGUCCAGAUGUAUGCAAAUGGAGGCACGUUGAAUGUGAUUCAUCAAGACGCGUGGUGGCUAUUCAGAUUGGGAACCAGAACCUUCGGGGAUCUCUCCCCAAGGAGCUUGCGAAGCUAACCGCGUUGGUACAUUUCGAGUGCCAAAGCAACACUCUCUCAGGGCCAUUCCCCUACCUCUCUAAAUCCCUGCAGAAGUUGAUAAUCCAUGACAACCAGUUCAGCUUCAUCCCCGGCGAUUUCUUCAAGGGCAUGAGCAAUCUGCAAGAGGUGAGAAUCGAUGACAACCCUUUCUCUCAAUGGCACAUUCCCCAAACUCUCAGCGAUUGUGUUGCACUCCAAACUUUCAGUGCUCAGAGUGCUGGCCUUGUGGGCACAAUCCCUGACUUCUUCGGGAAAAAUGGCCCCUUCGCAGGUUUGGUUCUUUUGGCCUUGUCUGAUAAUUUCCUAGAAGGUCCUUUGCCUGCAAGCCUCUCCGGUAGUUCAAUAGAAAACCUUUUGGUGAAUGGACAGAAUAGCGUGUCUAAGCUAAAUGGAACUCUUGCUGUCUUACAAAACAUGAGAUCCUUGAGGAUGGUUUGGGCUAAUGGUAACUCAUUCACGGGUCCUAUACCUGACAUGUCACACCAUGAUCAACUUGUUUAUGUGAAUCUAAGGGAUAACCAGUUGACUGGUGUUGUUCCACCCUCCCUAGCAGCUCUUCCAAGUCUCAAGUUUGUGAACUUAACCAAUAACCUUCUUCAAGGGUCCCCUCCAAGGUUUAAAUUUGGUGUAGGAGUUGACAAUAACAUGGAUAGAGGGAGGAAUCAAUAUUGCACAAACGUGCCGGGGCAGCCAUGUAGUCCUAUUGUGAAUGCUUUGCUAUCAGCUGUUGCACCUUUGGGUUAUCCUCUCAAGCUUGCUCAGAGUUGGCAGGGUAAUGAUCCUUGUGCUAAUAAAUGGGCUGGUAUAAUUUGCUCUGGUGGAAACAUUUCAGUUAUUAACUUUCAGAACAUGGGUUUGACUGGCACUAUUUCUCCAUCUUUUGCUAGCUUCACUUUUAUGACAAAGUUGCUUCUUUCUAACAAUGCUCUCACUGGUACCAUACCACGUGAGCUUGCUACUUUGCCCCUUCUGCAAGAGUUGGAUGUUUCAAACAAUCAUUUGUAUGGUAAAGUACCAUCAUUCCGUAAAGAAGUGUCUGUUAAGGUAGAUGGGAAUCAUGAUAUUGGAAAGAAUAAACCAACUGUGAUUGACUCAGGUUCUAAUAAAGAUAAUGCUGAUGGUAGCAACCAUGGUAGCAGCAAUAAUGCUGGAGUCAUUGUUGUAAUUAUAGUGGUGGUUGCUAUUGUUCUUGUUACCGGGGUUCUAAUACUUUUUAAGUUCGGGGGGAAGUGGAAAUAUGCGAGGAAAACUAAAAAUCCAAGUGGCAUCUUGGUUCUUCCUCACUAUUAUGGGGAUGGAAAUGCUACGAAGACAACAAGUGGUGGAGGUUAUGGGGAAGGAACUACUAGUACAUUAUUAAGUCCCACAGCUAGUGUUUAUCAGGGAGAAGCUGCUAACAUGUUAAUUUCAAUUCAAGUUUUGAGAGAAGUUACCAACAAUUUCAGUGAAGAAAACAUAUUGGGGAAAGGGGGGUUUGGGACUGUAUACAAAGGAGAAUUGCAUGAUGGGACGAAAAUUGCGGUGAAAAGGAUGCAAUCAGCAGGGUUGGUGGAUGAGAAAGGGUUGAGUGAGUUCACAGCUGAAAUUGCAGUGCUUACUAAGGUUAGACACAGAAAUUUGGUUGCACUCUUGGGGUUUUGCUUGGAUGGAAGUGAGAGACUUCUUGUCUAUGAGUACAUGCCUCAGGGUGCACUUAGUAAACAUUUGAUUAACUGGAAAGCUGAAGGGAUAAAGCCAUUGGAAUGGAAGACAAGGCUUAGCAUUGCCUUGGAUGUUGCUAGAGGUGUUGAAUAUCUUCAUGGUUUGGCACAACAAAUUUUCAUCCAUAGGGAUCUCAAACCAUCUAAUAUUUUGCUUGGAGAUGAUAUGCGUGCUAAAGUAUCAGAUUUUGGAUUGGUUCGACUUGCUCCUGAAGGGAAAACCUCAUUUCAAACUAGACUUGCUGGAACUUUUGGAUACAUGGCACCAGAGUAUGCAGCCACUGGAAGACUUACAACAAAGGUUGAUGUAUAUAGUUUUGGAGUGAUUCUUAUGGAAAUGAUAACCGGAAGGAAAGCACUCGAUGAUAGUCUGCCAGAAGAGAACAUCCAUCUUGUUACAUGGUUCCGGAAGAUGCUACAGAACAAAGAUUCAUUCCCAACAAUCAUCGACCAAACAAUUGAAGUUGAUGAGGAAACCUUAGCCAGCAUUAGUACUGUUGCACAGUUAGCAGGGCACUGCUGUGCAAGGGAGCCUUAUCAACGUCCUGACAUGAGUCAUGCAGUGAAUGUGUUGUCAUCUCUUGUUCAGGUUUGGAAGCCUUCUGAAACAAAUGUUGAUGACAUAUAUGGAAUUGACUUGGAUAUGACAUUACCAGAAGCACUCAAAAGGUGGCAAGAUUUUGAAGGAAGUAGCACCACUCAAGAAUUAAUUUCUCGUUCAUCACUGCAACUUAAUGGAAAUAACACAUCUUCAGUUGUAGGUCCCUUUACACCUUCAGAUGGACGAUGAUGUUAUAUCAAUGUAAUCACUUAUUUUGUCUCCUACUCUACAAUAUUCCCCCAAACAAUACCCUCAGCUUAAUGGAUUCUUUUAUUCAAAAGGAAAUAAAAACCCAGCUUAAUUUCUUGUUAAGGAACCUGUACCUGUUCCGGGUACGACGUGGUCUGACUCCAACUUCGCUCUUCAGUCUUCUUACUUUCCCAUCCGGUGCCCAGGUUAUACUGAAAGGAGGAUAUGCUUGCAAACAACACUCCAAUGUUCAAGUCAAAUAUCGGUUCAAUACAGAUAUAUUUAUGCUAUUUAUGAUGAGACCAGAUCCUAAUGGACCUUAGUAUGUGAUUAUCAAAUAUGUAAUACGUGAUAAUCCAUGUUUUAUUGUGGUUAGACUUAAUUAUUCAUUUAUUUUUAAUAGUUAAUCGGGCAGGUA
This is an RNA transcript of Cajanus cajan (pigeon pea), 3376 nucleotides long. It is a transcript of the gene named receptor protein kinase TMK1, with no coding region annotated. Lineage: Eukaryota; Viridiplantae; Streptophyta; Magnoliopsida; Fabales; Fabaceae. The record is from RefSeq and is a predicted model, not a curated record.